Molecule: long non-coding RNA, 94 nt
Organism: Phacochoerus africanus (Common warthog)
Lineage: Eukaryota; Metazoa; Chordata; Mammalia; Artiodactyla; Suidae
Exons: 2
Source: RefSeq, a predicted model, not a curated record
CAGGCUUCCCCGGACACCGCCUGGAGGCAACACCUCUGGACCAGAACAUCAAUACAGAGUGAAGAAGAAGAGCAAAGAGGGAGCAUUUAGUAGG